This 492-nucleotide ribosomal RNA is filed under the name uncultured bacterium. Its description in RNAcentral is "bacterial SSU rRNA". It matches the Rfam family "Bacterial small subunit ribosomal RNA", at positions 29 to 486 of the family's 1533-position model. The record is from RNAcentral.
AACUAACGCUGGCGGCGUGCCUAACACAUGCAAGUCGUACGAGAAAGUUGGCUUCGGCCGAUGAGUACAGUGGCGCACGGGUGAGUAACGCGUGGAUAAUCUGCCCUUAAGUGUGGAAUAACGUACCGAAAGGUGCGCUAAUACCGCAUAAUGCCUGGCAACAUAAGUUGUCCGGCCAAAGAAGGCCUCUGCUUGCAAGCUUUCGCUAAAGGAUGAGUCCGCGUACCAUUAGCUAGUUGGUGGGGUAACGGCCUACCAAGGCGACGAUGGUUAGCUGGUCUGAGAGGAUGAUCAGCCACACUGGAACUGAGACACGGUCCAGACUCCUACGGGAGGCAGCAGUGAGGAAUAUUGCGCAAUGGGGGCAACCCUGACGCAGCAACGCCGCGUGAGUGAGGAAGGUUUUCGGACUGUAAAAGCUUCUGUCGAGGACGGGAAAGAAGUCGUAACCAGUGGACUAAUACCAUGAUUAUUUCGACGGUACCGCUAGAA